AUUAUAUGGCAAACCUUGUUCAGUUUUGACAACUUUGUUUCUGUGCAUCAUCACUGGGUGAAGUUUGUCGUAUAAU
This is a microRNA precursor of Drosophila grimshawi, 76 nucleotides long. It matches the Rfam family "mir-3 microRNA precursor family". The record is from Rfam. NCBI's taxonomy places the organism in Eukaryota, Metazoa, Arthropoda, Insecta, Diptera, Drosophilidae.